This 751-nucleotide ribosomal RNA is filed under the name uncultured bacterium. Its description in RNAcentral is "bacterial SSU rRNA". It matches the Rfam family "Bacterial small subunit ribosomal RNA", at positions 751 to 1504 of the family's 1533-position model. The record is from RNAcentral.
GUGCGAAAGCGUGGGGAGCAAACGGAUUAGAUACCCCGGUAGUCCACGCCGUAAACGAUGUCUACUAGCCGUUGGAGGACUUGAUCCUUUAGUGGCGCAGCUAACGCGAUAAGUAGACCGCCUGGGGAGUACGGUCGCAAGAUUAAAACUCAAAUGAAUUGACGGGGGCCCGCACAAGCGGUGGAGCAUGUGGUUUAAUUCGAAGCAACGCGAAGAACCUUACCUACUCUUGACAUCCAGUGAACUUUUGAGAGAUCAAUUGGUGCCUUCGGGAACACUGAGACAGGUGCUGCAUGGCUGUCGUCAGCUCGUGUUGUGAAAUGUUGGGUUAAGUCCCGUAACGAGCGCAACCCUUGUCCUUAGUUACCAUCAUUAAGUUGGGGACUCUAAGGAGACUGCCGGUGACAAACCGGAGGAAGGCGGGGACGACGUCAAGUCAUCAUGGCCCUUACGAGUAGGGCUACACACGUGCUACAAUGGCAUGUACAAAGGGUUGCCAAGCCGCGAGGUGGAGCUAAUCCCAUAAAGCAUGUCGUAGUCCGGAUUGGAGUCUGCAACUCGACUCCAUGAAGUCGGAAUCGCUAGUAAUCGUGAAUCAGAAUGUCACGGUGAAUACGUUCCCGGGCCUUGUACACACCGCCCGUCACACCAUGGGAGUGGGUUGCUCCAGAAGUAGAUAGCUUAACCUUCGGGAGGGCGUUUACCACGGAGUGAUUCAUGACUGGGGUGAAGUCGUAACAAGGUAGCCGUA